RNAcentral lists this long non-coding RNA (9217 nucleotides) under Capsella rubella. Its description in RNAcentral is "long non-coding RNA (CRUB_LNC000727)". The record is from RNAcentral. Lineage: Eukaryota; Viridiplantae; Streptophyta; Magnoliopsida; Brassicales; Brassicaceae.
ACGGAUCACAAUUUACCUGCACCACAAAAACAAUGAGAUGCGUGAGUAUUAUCACAAAUACUCAGUGAGAGCGAUCCUCCCAUCUACGAGCUAUACACACAAGCUAUGAGAUAACACACACAUAUAUAACAUAAACAAACCAUUCAGCAAGCUAAACAUCCAAUACACUUCCAAUUCACCUACAAAUCAUCACAAACAAGUCACUCAAUCCCAAUCGCUUAGAUAAGCUCAUGGUCACGCACUCACCUUAACAAGGUGAUUUGAAUAACAAAAACAACCAGGAAAGACUCUCCUCGCGACUGCAACAGCCAAAUAACGCCCUACAAUAAACCACACAAACAAAAAUCUCUAAGAACCAAAAGGAUAGAAACAUCAGAAAACCUACAGCCGCAGAAACGAAGCCCUAAAACAUAAACCAUUAACUUCUUAAUCCCUACGGUGAAAAGCAAGAUCCAGACGUCACAAAGCUGCCCACAAAAUUUGGUGCCGAUCAGAGAAACGAUGAAAUCACGAUCGCACUUACAAACUCCGCUGAUCCCAAUUCGCAACAGAGAAGAAGCGUCUCACCAAACUGCAUAUAACUAACUGAGUAUUAUUCUGUUAUAAAAACAAAGGAAGUAGAACUGAAUUCUACAAAACCACUCUGUUAUACUAACAGACGUGCGGAACAAAUAAGAGCUGUAAGACGUACAGAGAACAAGAACUUUGAUUGAAUGAUACUUUUCUCUUAUUUCUCUGAUUCUCUAGUUCACUAUUGUUCACUUUUCUUAGAAUGAGAUUACAUAACUUAUAUAGAAACUAGAAAUGUAACUUACUCCCAUUACCCCAUGGACUCCUUAUUGUCCUACAUUAAACAUAAUUUGAAACCCCCAAAUUAAUACUAAAACCAAAACUCACAAAUACUUAAACUCUCACAUUUAUUCUCUUUGACCAAGCAUUGAAUCACAUUUCAACACUCUCCCUUGAUUCAAACUUGCAUACUCCAAGCUUGCUCCUGAAGUACUCGAACUUGUUCUUUGACAACGCCUUUGUCAGAACAUCUGCACUAUACUCGUUUGUGCUACAAUACUCCAAAGUAACUGAAUCUUCACUGACCAAGUCUCUUAUGAAGUGUACCUUGAUAGAUAUAUGCUUUGUUCUUCCAUGAUACGCCGGAUUCUUGCUCAUUGCUAUGCUUGCCUUGUUGUCACAAUAAAUUGUUGUAGGCUUCUUCUGCCCUGGCUUGACAUCUUCAAGAAUUCUUCUUAACCAAACAGCUUGACACGCUGCUGUUGUAGCUGCUGUAUACUCUACUUCUGACGACGACAAAGCUGUAACAUGCUGCUUCUUAGAACUCCAACACACCGCUCCAGAACCCAGAUUGAAAACAUGACCUGACGUGCUUUUUCUGUCUUGCACACAGCCUGCCCAAUCACUGUUUGUAAACCCAACCAACUCAAACUCUCCAACCCUGUUGUACCACAUACCAUAGUCCGAUGUACCUGCAACAUACCUCAACAACCUCUUAGCUGCUCCAUAAUGCUGCUUCGUUGGACUGUGCAUAAACCUUGAAAUUGCACUCACAGCAAACGAAAUAUCUGGUCUUGUAUGAGUUAAAUAAAUAAGACCACCAACCAAACUUCUGAAUCUUGUUGCAUCCGCUUUUUCUGUUCCAUCUUCCAACUGCAACUUCUCAUUCACAUUCAUAAGUAUGCAAUUCGUCAUGUUGAACCUCUUCAACAAAUCUUUUACAUACUUAUGCUGAGACACAAAUAUCCCAUCUUCCACUUGCUUAAUCUCUAAGCCCAGAAAAUAAUGCAGCAAACCUAAGUCUGACAUUUCAAACUUCUUCAUCAUACUCUCCUUGAAAUCAGCAACAAGUGCACCACUCGAACCCAUGUAAAUAAUAUCAUCUACAUGUAAACACACAAUAAGGAUAUCACCUUCACUUUGCUUCUUUAUGUAGAGAGUGUGCUCACUUUUGCUCCUUUCAAACCCAGUUUCUGCAAAAAAUGAAUCAAUCUUGUUGUACCAAGCUCUCGGAGCUUGCUUCAGCCCAUACAAUGCCUUGUGUAACUUGUACACGCACCCUUCUUGGCCUUCAACCACAAAACCUUCAGGCUGAUCAACAUAAACCUCUUCAAGUAGCUCACCAUUUAAGAAAGCUGACUUAACAUCAAAAUGAUAUAUUGGCCAAUUCAUACUUGCACCAAACUGAAGUAAAACUCUCACUGUAUCAAACCUUGCAACAGAAGAAAAAGUUUCUUCAUAAUCCACUCCGUACUCUUGUGCAUAGCCUUUGACCACCAGUCUUGCUUUAUACUUCUGAACACUACCAUCUACAUGAUACUUUGUUCGAAAUACCCACUUCACACCAAUUGCGUGUUUACCUUCAGGAAGCUCGACUAACUCCCAACUCUUACUCUUCUCUAUGGACUCUAUCUCUUGAUCCAUUGCUUUCUGCCACUCUGAUUCCUCUACAGCCUCGUUGAACGAUCCUGGCUCAGAAAUGAACGACGCUUGCUGAACUUCAUAAACCUCUCUUAGAGAUCUAAAUUUUCGAGGAGGACUUUCUUCUUCACUGCUUGUGUCACCGCUUCUGCUGUUGUGUCCACUGCUAUUAGGCGAAUUAAGGACCGAAUUUGUGGGUGUAUGACCUUCAGAACCAACUGGACUCUGACUCUCUCCCUUCUACAGAGCUGUCUGGCUGAACUUCAACAAGCUCACCGUUAUCACCCUCACACCAACUCCAAACUGCAUUCUCAUCGAAUGUGACGUUCCUGCUUUCAACAAUCUUCCCACUCACAGGAUUAUACAAUCUAUAACCUUUGGAUUGUGAACAAUAACCAAGAAAUAUGCAUUUCUCAGAUUUGUCAUCCAACUUUCUCCUGAGAUGAAUAUCAAUAAGAGAAUAUGCAACACUGUCAAAAAUUCUCAAGUGACUUACUGCAGGUUUUCUGCCACACCAUGCUUCAUAUGGAGUUUUGUCUGCGACUGCUUUUGUUGGUGAAAUGUUCAGCAGAUACACUGCUGUGCUCACACUUUCAGCCCAAAACAGAUUUGGCAAAUUCUUCUGUUUCAACAUACUUCUCGUCAUCUCUACAACAGUCCUGUUUUUCCUCUCUGCUACACCAUUCUGCUCCGGUGUAUAAGCUGUAGUAAGCUCAUGAUGAAUACCUUCAUCUUCACAAAAUUGGUUGAACUCAGUAGUUGUGAACUCUCCACCUCUGUCAGUUCGCAACACCUUGACUAACAAUCCACUUUAUUUCUCCACUAGUGCCUUAAACUUCUUGAACAUCUCAAAUGCUUCACCUUUAGACACCAAAAAAUAAACCCAGCUCAUCCUGCUGUAGUCAUCUGUCAACAUCAGGAAAUAUUUACUUCCUCCAAGAGAUGUAGUCUGCAUAGGACCGCACAAAUCAGCAAGAACAAUCUCAAGACAUUGAGUUGCUCUCCUUGCCUGACCAACAGGAAACGACCUCCGCGUUUGUUUCCCAUAUAUGCAUCCUUCGCACAUCCCAAAAGCAUGAAUAUGUGGUAACCCAACCACCAUAUUCUUCUGAUUGAGAAUCUUCAUCCCAUUCUCGUGUAGAUGCCCAUACCGUAAAUGCCACAACCUUGACAUCUCUGAAACUUUCGCAACCAAAGCACUUUUUUCAAUAGACGACAUCUGUAACGGGUACAGAUUGUUUGCAGUCUUCUUCACCACUGCUACUGUGAAAUCAGAUUUUUUAUCCUUGAUAACACACACAUCCCCAUCAAAGAAAACAGAACAAUUGUUUUCCACCAUCUGUCCAACACUCAACAGAUUCUGCGCUAGAUCAGGAAUGUAAUACACAUCAUAGAUGAAUUUGAGAUUACCAUCGCUAUCUUUGACAGAAACGAUUCCUCUUCCUUCAACUUGAACUUCUUUGUCAUCCCCAAGCUUGACUUUCAGCUUGUACGACUCAUCUAUCUCCUUAAACAAUGACUUGAUGCCUGUCAUAUGAUUAGAACAACCGCUGUCCAAAUACCACAUUGUUUCAGACACAUUUAGACUCUUGUAUGCCAUGAAAAGUCUCGGCUGCACAUCUUCUUAUGCAAAGCUCGCUUUCUUUUCUUCAUUUUGCUUCUUACAGCAAUCAUCUUGCAUAUGACCCAACUUCUUGCAAUAAUAACACCCAAUAUUGCUCUUGUCUGUACCUUUGCUGUACGACCCACCAGUGUAGUUCUGACCUCUUCCACGGCCAUGGUCUGCGCGACCUCCAGAUCUGCCUCUUCCUCUGCCAGAUCCGCCUGUUACUCUGCCAGAUCCUCUACCAGAACCAUUACUGUGGCCCUGUCCUGAGUACUCUCCCUUCACCUGGAAAGCUUUCUCCUCAGACUUCUCAACCUUCUUACCAAGACGAUCUUCAUGCGACAACAACGAACUCAUCAUCUCAUCAAACGUGUAUUUGCUCAUAUCAUUGGCUUCCAUGAUCGCAUGAACAACAUACUCAAACUUUGGAGCUAAAGUUCUGAGAACUUUACUCACAAUAGUUACGUCUAAAACAGUUUCGCCAUAAGAUCUCAUUUGGCUCACAAUGUUUGACACUCUUGCCAAAUACUCUUGUAUUGACUCUUUCUCCUUCAUCACAAUUGUUUCAAAAUUAUGACGUAGAGUCUGAAGCUUCACAGUGAUUACCUUCUGAUCUCCCUGGUACUCACGCUUCAAAAUUUCCCACGCUUCGUGAGACGUGUUCACGGCUACAAUCCGUGACAGGAUAUCUUCAUCCAAGGCUGACUAAAUGAAGAACAGCGCCUUCGCAUCCUUCUUGCGAUUCUCCCGUAGCUGCUGCUUGGGUUCUGCUGGAUUCACAUCUUCAAAUCCAUUCUCCACCAAAUCCCAAAUCUCUUGAGACCUGAACAUAGUCUUCAUCUUAAGACUCCAAAGAUGAUACUUCUCACCCUUGAACUGCGGAACUGAUAGCUGUUGGUUUCCUCCAUUGGCUGCAAACGCUCACUUUGUCUUUUCCACACAAAGAUCAAAGGGGACUGAAACCUAACGCUCUGAUACCACAAUGUUGUAAAAACAAAGAAAGUAGAACUGAAUUCUACAAAACCACUUUGUUAUACUAACAGACGUGCAGAACAAAUAAGAGCUGUAAGACGUACAGAGAACAAGAACUUUUACUGAAUGAUACUUUUCUCUUAUUUCUCUGAUUCUCUAGUUCACUAUUGUUUACUUUUCUCAGAAUGAGAUUACAUAACUUAUAUAGAAACUAGAAAUGUAACUUACUCCCAUUACCCCAUGGACUCAUUAUUAUCCUACAUUAUACAUAAUUUGAAACCCCCAAACUAAUACUAAAACAAAAACUGACAAAUACUUAAAUUCUCACAUUUAUUCUCUUUGACCAAGCAUUGAAUUACAUUUCAACAUAAUCCGAAUUCACUUCUGUUAAAAGGAGAAUCAACGUACACGCAUUUGGAACAAACUUACCAAAAUUCAUUACAUUUCGAUAAGAUUUGAUACGUCGGAACUCUAUUCUACCAAGACGUGACGAAUCUGCUUCUCUUGCUUUAAACACCAAAGCAAAGCUAACACUCUCCUUCUCACAACUGAACUUCUCCUUCUCCUUUUCUCAACUCAACUCUCAGAAACAACAGCGACAAAACAAAAGAGAGAAGAAGCGUUCUUUAUAAAACUAAGGUUUUUGGUUUAAUUAUGAUUAAACCAGGAUUUACCUAAACCAAUAUUAAUUAAACCUCCUUUAAUUCAAUUAAACAAAUCGACCAGUUUAGGAAAUCCACCAGAAUUAAACCGACUCCACCCUAAUUCUUAUACACACUCAAGUCUCAUAUUAUUUUCCAGAAUACGGGCGUUACAAUUCUCCCCCACUAACAAGGAUUCGUCCUCGAAUCCUUUAACAUUCUCCAUCAGUCGGACUCCGUGCAACCGUCCCAAACGAUCUGCACUCCCACAACUGAAUCCUCUGAGGCUCAUAUCUAAUACAUAUACUCACGUUCCAGACCCUAUUUGCUCAUACUCACCCACUUCCCCCGUCCACAGUUCGCAACCCAUGAAUCAUACCGGCUCGUCCUCAGGCCUCUGUCUUAGACUACGGUAUCAAGGAAGUCAGACGACUAGAGAAAAGGCUCGAGAGGAUGAUCUAGGUCUCAAUGCUCACACAAUUGAUUAAACACAAAAAUCAAUCAGCAUGCAAUCCACAUCAUCAUUUUCCAUCAAAGAAAUUCACACAUCACAUAAAAAAUAACUAAAUUACUCCCGCCCUAUAACCGUAAGUGUUCUGUUACCAAAUUGAAAAUACCCGACCCGUUUUUUUUUAAUUCAUUAAUUAAUAUUCUCAUACCUACUAAUUAACCUAACCGAAUUAACCCAACAAUAAAUCAUCAUGCACAGCGGGAACAUAUUAAACCAACAUCAAUUAAUUAUAAUAUUAAUUAAUCAAUCAUUCAAUAACCACAAUUUACACCAGCAACCUAGCAUGCCUCUAAACCAGGUUCCAACAACAAUUAACAUAUUCAUAAACAUAACAACCGAGACCCUAAAUCAUCCUUCUCUCCUCGCCAUGAUUCCACUUAUCACAAUUUACCUGCACCACAAACACAAUGAGAUGCGUGGGUAUUAUCACAAAUACUCAGUGAGAGCGAUCCUCCCAUCUACGAGCUAUACACACAAGAUAUGAGAUAACACCCACAUAUAUAACAUAAACAAACCAUUCAGCAAGCUAAACAUCCAAUAACACUUCCAAUUCACCUACAAAUCAUCACAAACAAGUCACUAAAUCCCAAUCGCUUAGAUAAGCUCAUGGUCACGCACUCACCUUAACAAGGUGAUUUGAAUAACAAAAACAACCAGGAAAGACUCUCCUCGCGACUGCAACAGCCAAACAGCGCCCUACAAUAAAUCACACAAACAAAAAUCUCUAAGAACCAAAAGGAUAGAAACAGCAGAAAACCUACAGCCGUAGAAACGAAGCCCUAAAACAUAACCCAACCGUUAACUUCUUAAUCCCUACGGUGAAAAGCAAUAUCCAGACGUCACAAAGCUGCCCACAAAAUUUGGUGCCGAUCAGAGAAACGAUGAAAUCACGAUCGCAUUUACAAACUCCGCUGAUCCCAAUUCGUAACAGAGAAGAAACGUCUCACCAAACUGCAUAUAACUCACUGAGAAUUAAUCCGAAUUCACUUAUGUAAAAAGGAGAAUCAACGUACACGCCGUUGGCACAACCCUACCAAAAUUCAUUACCUUUCGAUAAGAUUUGAUACGUCGGAACUCUAUUCUACCAAAACGUGACGAAUCUGCUUCUCCUGCUUUAAACACUAAAGCAAAGCUAACACUCUUCUUCUCACAAGUGAACUUCUCCUUCUCCUUUUCUCAACUCAACUCUCAGAAACAACAGCGACAAAACAAAAGAGAGAAGAAGCGUUAUUUAUAAAACUAGGGUUUUGGUUUAAUUAUGAUUAAAUCAGGAUUUACCUAAACCGAUAUUAAUUAAAUUUUCUUUGAUUCAAUUAAACAAAUCGACCAGUUUAGGAAAUCCAACGGAAUUAAACCGACUCCACCCUAAUUCUUAUACACACUCAAGUCUCAUAUUAUUUUUAAGAACACGUGCGUUACAAUUCUCCCCCACUAACAAGGAUUCGUCCUCGAAUCUUUCAACAUUCUUCAUCAGUCGGACUCCGUGCAACCGUCCCAAACGAUCUGCACUCCCACAACUGACUCCUCUGAGGCUCCUAUCUAAUCCAUAUACUCACGUUCCAGACCCUAUUUGCUCAUACUCACCCACUUCCCCCGUCCACAGGUCGCAACCCAUGAAUCAUACCGGCUCGUCCUCAGGCAUCUGUCUUAGACUACGGUAUCCAGGAAGUCUCACCACUCCCCCCCCCUCUCAGGUCCCAACCCUCAAGUCAUACCGGCUCACUAUUAGGCCACCCGCCUUCUAGCUACGGUAUCCGGGAAGUCUCACGGUCGCUCUCGGGUCAUCACCCUCAAGCGUGCACUCGAAUCGUCAUCCGAGGCCAUCACAUCAUAUCCGAGCAAAUAAGUCGAAACGCCCCCGAGCAUAUCUCUCGAUUAGAUAUACCUCCCGUUGUGCACUUAUAGCAUCGCUAUACUAACCACCACCCCCAGACUUUCCAAAAAUAGAACCGUCUAACCCGACACUUUCUAUUUUUAGAAACUCGCACAUAUUUCUCUUACACAUGACACAACAAGUCAAAUCCAAGAAAUACUCACGUAGUCCAAGUACAACAUCACAAUGUCAUACCUACCAAACAAUAUUCCCACCUGGAAUAUCAUCUCUACCAUGACCAUACUUCAAGUCAACUCCCAAACAAUCCCGUCACUCAGAGUAUUACAUAAUAAUCUCCAACUUAACUUCUCGGAAAUCCAUUUCCAACAAAACACCACCGAAGACCCGCGCUCCGGACUACAACCACCAAAACCACAUAACUACUUUGAGCACCACGCUCGCAACCUCUAGCCUCCUACACUGCCACGAGCAGAAACUAGGAAAACAUACGACUAGAGAAAAGACAAAACAUCACAACUUAUCGUGUAAUCUCAUUGAAGGCUCGAGAGGAUGAUCUAGGUCUGCAUGCUCACACAAUUGAUUAAACACACAAAUCAAUCAGCAUGCAAUCCACAUCAUCAUUUUCCAUCAACGAAAUUCACACAUCACAUUAAAAAUAACCAAUUUACUCCCGCCCUAGAACCGUAAGGGCUCUGAUACUAAAUUGAAAAGACCCGACCCGUUUUUUUUUAAUUCAUUAAUUAAUAGUCUUAUACCUAUUAAUUAACAUAACCGAAUUACCCCAACAAUAAAUCAUCAUGCACAGCGGAAACAUAUUAAACCAACAUCAAUUAAUCAUAAUAUUAAUUAAUCAACCAUUCAAUAACCACAAUUUACACUAGCAACCUAGCAUGCCUCUAAAUCAGGUUCCAACAACAAUUAACAUAUUCAUAAACAUAACAACCGAGACCCUAUAUCAUCCUCCUCUCCUCGCCAUGAUUCCACGGAUCACAAUUUACCUGCACCACAAACACAAUGAGAUGCGUGAGUAUAAUCACAAAUACUCAGUGAGAGCGAUCCUCCCAUCUACGAGCUAUACACACAAGCUAUGAGAUAACACACACAUAUAUAACAUAAACAAACCAUUCAGCAAGCUAAACAUCCAAUAACACUUUCAAUUCACCUACAAAUCAUCACAAACAAGUCACUCAAUCCCAAUCGCUUAGAUAAGCUCAUGGUCACGC